ACUGAGCCCAGGCAGGUGCAUUGAGAAGGGAGGCUGGUCGGGUAGGAUCUGGCCAGGUAGGGCUCCCGUGCCUGGUCUAAAGGGGAUAAAUGCUAAUGUGCUCUGGGCUCGGUAGCCAUGCAACACCAGUGUCACCUACAUCUGAAUUUCCAGGAGAGGCUUGGGAUACGCUUGUUUAUCUGACAUCUUCUGAAUUUUAACACCGAGAACCAAGUCCCCCCAAACUGAAACACACCAGAGGCCAAACACUGCCCAGUUCACUGGCACCAUUUUAGAUCCCUGCUCUCCUGUGCUAAUCAGGAUUGAGGCAGGAUUUCAACAUGCCAAGAGGAGAGAAAAGAGAGGGCUCAUUUGUUAGGCACGAUCCUGAUGCUGGAGGCCAAGAGACUUGGGUUCCUGUCCCAACUCUUUGACCAACUCCUCUGUAUGUCACUGGGCCAGCUUCCAGCACCCCUUCUCCAGGCCUCUUUGAGGAGGGACUGGGACAAGGUGAAUUCCAAGCACUCAGCCACCUCCAGUUUGGCAUGCUGUGCCCUCAGCUGAUGGAAACCAUUCAAUGCCUAAGAGGUGUUUUCUGGGAAUCAGAGGCGACCCUGAGUUAAUGGUUCAGGAAUUUAGGGGAGGGCAGUCCCUCUCGAAUUGCAGGUGAUUUCUCCUGAGGAAUCUCCCUAACCUCCAGAAGGAAACAGAACUGAUAAACGGAAGGCCCAGUGAAACCCCUGUGAUAUGGUCACCUGUGUUCCCACCGCCUCCUCACAGUGAGCCUAGAAGGCAGGUGCCCUUGUCCAUCUCUUCGUCUGCAUUUUGAAGAUGAGGCACGGGAGGCUCAGAAGCAUUAAGCAUCUUACCCAAGGUCACACAGCAAGGAAAAAGCCAAGAGAAGGUCACAGUAAACUGAGGCUGGUCUGUGUCAGGAAUAGCUGGGCCACUUAUUUCUAGGCAAUAAAAUCCCGAAUACUGCAGGAAGAGAGGGUGUAUCAAAAAUGGGCCAUUUUCAGCAUCUUUGUACACUCUGCUGUUUCUACAACUUCCUUGGCCACACAAAGACAGAUGAGCAGCAGCUCUGCCUUAGGCUUGUUUUAACAAGGUCAACCCCAUCCUGGACCAUAUUUCUGUCAUUUUGAAAGACUCUUUAACCAAGUAGCCGACCCUCCUUCUACAGUUGUUGUUUUUAAAUCAGAUUCAUUACCUGCAAAGAAAAAUGGCUUUUUCUCCUUUCUCCUUGAUGGUAUUUUCUUUCAGAACCCCAGAUGUGGGAAAAGACAGGAUAUUGACUGUGUUUAUCUAGCAAGUGCAGGGGCCAAGCCUGCUGGGCCACCCUCAUCCUGGAAGACAUCCUGACAUCAGAGGACAUGUAGCAAGUAUGCCUUUCUCCCCAGAGAAAGACAUUCCCCUGCGCACUGAGUGAACAAAUCUCUUUCUCCAGAACCACAUGCCUCAUGCAGCCAGAAAGAACUGGAGAAUCUCACACUGCUUUACCAGCAACAGAGAGUCACCGUCCACAGGACCCGAUCUCACUCCUUCAUGUGCAAUGCUCACCUGUGAACUUGGAAGUGGCAGAGACAUCUUCAUGGCCCUGACCUCAAGGUUUCUUAUUUAUAGUCACAUUCACCUGCUUUGAAUGACCUUUAGACCUGUUCCUGUUUUGCCUCUUUCCAGGGUUUCCCCCAAAGUUACUUGACAACAGUUGUGUUGGGGUUGGGAAGGGGGGCAGAGUUCACAACUUCCCCUGUGUUGUAGAUGAGAAACCUGACUCUCAGGGGACCAAGGGCUUGCCUGGGACUAUACAGCUGGUGAGGACAGAGCUGAGUUUGAAGUCCAGCUUCUGGACUCCCCUGGGUUGGGCCACCUGCCUUGCUGUGCCCCCUUCUCACCCCGACAUGAAGGCCGUGGGGGCUCCCUAUGGUCUGGAACCAAGGGGAUUCCGGUGAGGGUGGGCAGGAGAUGCCAGUCCUGGCUUUGAAGCCCAUGGCUACGCAAAAGCUACCCCUCCUGUCUCAGAGAGACAAGGUGUCAUGCCUGCAGCUCCCGGCUGUGGUCUGUGGAGCAAUACAGCCUGUAUCCCUGUGGGACAAUAUCUGAGGGCUGGACAUGAGGCCAGGAAGAAAAGGAGAGAGGAAAGAGAGGGAAAAGGACAGCUGUGGACUGAACUGUGUCCCUCCCCAACUCACAUGGAAGUUGUUGUGACUGCUUCCCUCACGUGACUGCAUUUGGAGACAGAGCCUUUAGGGAGGUCAUUAAAGAUGAGUGAUGUCAUAAGGGUGAGACCCUAAUCCAACAGGAUUGGUGGUCUUAAACCAAGAGGAAGAGAGCCCUCUGCCUCCCUGUCCUCUCUCUCCCCAUAGGCAUUGAGGAGAGGCUCUGUGAGGACUCAGUAGGAAGGUGGCCACCUGCAAGCCAAGGAGAAAAGUAAAAGUGUUGGUCGCUCAGUUGUGUCCGAUUCUUUGUGACCCAUGGACUGUAGCCUGCUGGGCUUCUCUGUUUGUGGGAUUCUCGGGGCAAGAAUACUGGAGUAGGUAGCCAUUCCCUUCUCCAGGGGAUCUUCCUGACCCAGGGAUCAAACCCAGGUCUCCCGCGUUGCAGACAGAUUCUUUACCAUCUAAGCAAGCCACAGAGAGCUCUUCCCGAAAUCAAAUCACUUGAAACCAUAUACUGGAUGUCAAGUCUCCAGAGUUGAGAGAAGUGAAUGUCUAUUGUUCACUUAACAGCCUGUAGUAAUUUUUUAUGGCCUCCCAAGCUGACUAAGACCAGCACAAACUGAAAGAAGAGGGAGAAAGCACAAUCUCACCGUGGCCAGCCACCACCAGGGCACACUACCCCACGCUCACCUCUCAGUUUCCACACCUGACCCCUCUCCCCGCCCCAGAAUCUCUUCCAUCUGCAGGAGGCCUAUUCCAUAGAGACCUGGGCUGAGACCUACCCCAGUCAGCCCAGGUCACCAUUUUACCUUAAAAACUUCCCUUGACGUGGGCAGAUUUCUCCCUCUUUGUUCCACUGUCCACCAGAGAAUGACCCUCGUGCCUUCCUCUGAUCUGGGUCGUGUGCCUUUCUCUUCAGUUUGUUCUAUCCUCCAAUAGAAGGUCGAGUAUAGGUCACCUUCUCACCAGAAGCUGACCCAUCGGGUAAGGACUCACUGCUGGGCGGUUGCCAGAAGUAUGGGUAUUGCAGACAGACUCCCAUAUCUGGGAACAGGCCAGCUCAGGUUUAGACCCCAGGCUCCCACGUGGCAACUGGGGAACUGUGACUCCAUGGUCCCAUCUCCUCCUCAUCCAUCUCGGGAGAGUGGUGCGAACAUGAAAGGAGGUGCUGGAAAGAUGCACCCCCUUUCAGUCCCCUUCUCACCAGGGCAGGAAGGGUCUGGGGCUUAAUGUCUCUGUCCAGACACCAGAAGGCCCUCAGAGAGAAUGGGAGCCCCGUGCUCCACCAACCUGACUGUAGAAUUAUUUGAGAAACUGCCAAGUCUCAAAUAUGCCACCCUCCUCCUCUCAUAGGUUGUCUAAUAACCCCUCUACCCACAAAUGGCUUCCUUGGUGGCUCAGAUGGUAAAGAACCUGCCUGCAAUGCAGAAGACCUAGGUCUGAUCCUUGGGUUGAGAAGAUCCCCUGGAGAAGGGAAUUUCAACCCACUCCAGUGUUCUUGUCUGGAGA
Bos taurus (domestic cattle) is the source of this 3647-nucleotide long non-coding RNA. Lineage: Eukaryota; Metazoa; Chordata; Mammalia; Artiodactyla; Bovidae. The record is from Ensembl.